Molecule: transfer RNA, 60 nt
Filed under: Camelus bactrianus (Bactrian camel)
Lineage: Eukaryota; Metazoa; Chordata; Mammalia; Artiodactyla; Camelidae
Also listed under: 1 other name
Rfam family: tRNA
About the family: Transfer RNA (tRNA) molecules are approximately 80 nucleotides in length. Their secondary structure includes four short double-helical elements and three loops (D, anti-codon, and T loops).
Source: Rfam by way of RNAcentral
GAGGGUAUAGCUCAGUGGUAGAGUGCAUGCUUAGCAUGCAUGAGGUCCCCGGUACCUCCA